GAUGAACGCUGGCGGCGUGCCUAAUACAUGCAAGUCGAGCGGACGGACGCGAAGCUUGCGUCUCUGAUGUUAGCGGAGCACGGGUGUGUAACACGUGGAUAACCUACCUGUAAUACUGGGAUAACUUCGGGAAACCGGCGCUAAUCCCUGAUAAUAUUUUGCACCGCAUGGUUCAAAAGUGAAAGUCGGUCUUUCUGGCACUAAUCGCUGGAUCCGCGCUGCAUUAGCUAGUUGGGAGGGUAAAGGCUUAUCAAGGCAAGGAUGCCUAGCCGACGGGAGGGGGGGAUAGGCCACACGGGAGCGGGGACGGGGACCAGGGGCCUACGGGAGGCAGCAGUAGGGUAUCGUCGGCAAUGGGGGGAAGUCUGACGCAGCGACGCGGAGUGAGUGAUGAAAGCCUUCGGAGCGGAAAACUCGGUUAUGAGUGAAGAACAGAUGUGGAAGGAGCUGUGGACAGCUUGACGGUAACUAAUCAGAAAGCCACGGCUAACUACGUG
RNAcentral lists this ribosomal RNA (497 nucleotides) under uncultured bacterium. Its description in RNAcentral is "partial 16S ribosomal RNA". It matches the Rfam family "Bacterial small subunit ribosomal RNA", at positions 28 to 507 of the family's 1533-position model. The record is from RNAcentral.